RNAcentral lists this ribosomal RNA (164 nucleotides) under Euphorbia milii. RNAcentral describes it as "5.8S ribosomal RNA". It matches the Rfam family "5.8S ribosomal RNA". From Rfam's summary of the family: 5.8S ribosomal RNA (5.8S rRNA) is a component of the large subunit of the eukaryotic ribosome. It is transcribed by RNA polymerase I as part of the 45S precursor that also contains 18S and 28S rRNA. Functionally, it is thought that 5.8S rRNA may be involved in ribosome translocation. The record is from RNAcentral. Lineage: Eukaryota; Viridiplantae; Streptophyta; Magnoliopsida; Malpighiales; Euphorbiaceae.
AAAACGACUYUCGGCAACGGAUAUUUCGGCUCUCGCAUCGAUGAAGAACGCAGCGAAAUGCGAUACUUGGUGUGAAUUGCAGGAUCCCGCGAACCAUCGAGUCUUUGAACGCAAGUUGCGCCCGAAGCCUUCCGGCUGAGGCNNNNNNUGCCUGGGUGUCACUC